RNAcentral lists this transfer RNA (69 nucleotides) under Burkholderia sp. FERM BP-3421. RNAcentral describes it as "tRNA-Ala". It matches the Rfam family "tRNA". From Rfam's summary of the family: Transfer RNA (tRNA) molecules are approximately 80 nucleotides in length. Their secondary structure includes four short double-helical elements and three loops (D, anti-codon, and T loops). Further hydrogen bonds mediate the characteristic L-shaped molecular structure. tRNAs have two regions of fundamental functional importance: the anti-codon, which is responsible for specific mRNA codon recognition, and the 3' end, to which the tRNAs corresponding amino acid is attached (by aminoacyl-tRNA synthetases). tRNAs cope with the degeneracy of the genetic code in two manners: having more than one tRNA (with a specific anti-codon) for a particular amino acid; and 'wobble' base-pairing, i.e. permitting non-standard base-pairing at the 3rd anti-codon position. The record is from RNAcentral. Lineage: Bacteria; Pseudomonadati; Pseudomonadota; Betaproteobacteria; Burkholderiales; Burkholderiaceae.
GGGGGCAUAGCUCAGCUAGGAGAGCACCUGCUUUGCAAGCAGGGGUCGGUUCGAUCCCGUCUGCCUCCA